Gallus gallus (chicken) is the source of this 1827-nucleotide long non-coding RNA. The record is from Ensembl. Lineage: Eukaryota; Metazoa; Chordata; Aves; Galliformes; Phasianidae.
CCAGUUUUGGGGGGGGAAACCAACAGGAGAAAGAGAAAACCUGAUGUUCUACUUGACUGUCGCAUAGAUUUGUUUAUUCAGUGGACUUUAGAGACCUCAACUACAAAGUGGAUGCACUGCUGUAGGGCUUCCCAAUUGCCAAGACAGGUUCUCCAAAUCCUCGCUGCAACUGGGGCACCACAACGACUGUGGAUCUGGAUGACGAUUUUCAUAUACAUCAAGCCUGAAGGAAUGUGUGGAGAGGAAUAGCAGCAGAGACUGCAGAAAAGGCAGAUCAGAAAGAAAGUGGUCACAUUUAUUGAAGUUGAGAAUCACAGUAUUACUUCUGACUGAAUAAAAAGGAUCAAAGCAGGCUUUGUACUAUAACUAUCAUGUUUUAUGGCAGAAAAAAAUGAAGCUAAAAUAUUUUUCCCAGUAUUGAAGGCUCUCUGACCUGCCUGAAAGCCAGGUAAGACUCCUAAAGGUAGUUGCCAAAAUUAGCUUCUCUUCAUUAAAUAUUUCCUUUUUGUUGGAGUGGCUAAUCCUAACUUCUCCAGGAGCAUGCUCAUAAUUGUGUCUAAUCAUUCUUAACAGCUUUUCACAAAAGAGUAAAGUGCUUUUCACAUAAGAGUAAUGAGUAAAAAAGAGUUACUAAUACAGCUCUUUUUUUCCUUUUUCAUUAACUUGAUCUCUCAGUGUAUUAUUGUAACUGAACUAAUUACUAACCUUUGCUGUAUUUUAUCAUAAAGUUAAGCUUGAAGUAGACUGUUCCCCAUUCAUUUUGUUUUAAGUCUUCUUAUAGAUAUUUCAGUUUCAAACAGAUCUUCUUCUUCCAACAGAGGAUGAGUCUGCUACAAGAAGCUGCUGAAAUGAUGCAAAGAAUUAAGUUCAUUUAUCUUAACACUGCUUUUAUGAUUCAAUACAGAUUCUGUAGCAGUUUUCCUGUUCCAAACAUGUCUGAGAACAGAUUUAUUAAUAAUUUUGACUCCAUUUGCUAUCUGAUCCUCAAACUGCCGUUUGGUCUGCCUUAUUACUUUUGCUUUUUUUAUCUUCUGAAAUUUGUAAUUCUCUCCCCUGUCUGCAUUCAGACACUGAAUCAGUUUUUCAGAGAAAAUCUUCCUUCUAACAAUGGCUUGUUGUUUAGCUGCAUUAGUUGUGUUUCACCUUUUCCCUUGUCUUUCACACUUGGUCAUAUACCCUGUAAGUAUUUGGUGUUUAAAUGGUGAAGAUUUUUCAAAGAAUUUCCUGUAAUCUGUUAGACUGUGAUUCAGUAAUACAGGUGCACAAAUUUGUACAGUACAAGAUUGGUCCUAUUUACUUCACUAGAAGCACUUACAUUUAAUUCUAAGUCGAAACUAAGCCUGGCUUCUCAUUCUCUGCCUAUAGAGAAAUACCUGUCAUUUCAUUUAAGUGUUCAUUUAAAUGGUAAAUAUCCCAAAGUAUGACGAAUCCAGUAAAUUAUCUACAGGUAAUUGUUAGAAAAGCUUUUGUUUUCUGUUGUAUAAUUAAAAUAAAAAAUGGCUGCAUGACAUCUCUUACUGUCAUUCAGGAAGGAUAAUAAAAUGAGGUAGAAAUGCAUAAAGAUUAUUUGAUGACCCUUCAUAGCUGUUUUCUAAGAUCUCUUUCUCUAUUCUGCUAACACCGUGGAGACUUACUGACUUGUGCAGAUGUCAGUUGAAAUAUUACAGAUUAGAUUGGAUGCAUUCUUAGCAUGACUUUUUAGCACCUUUUAGUACCUUCAGCAUAUUUUAGCACCUUUUCUCACUGUUAAGAUAUGCAGCUACAAUUGAAACUCAGGUUAAAGAAAACUUUGCAUUAUUUUUUACUACUACUAAUAAAGCUAAUUUA